Molecule: ribosomal RNA, 159 nt
Filed under: Pseudo-nitzschia delicatissima
Lineage: Eukaryota; Bacillariophyta; Bacillariophyceae; Bacillariales; Bacillariaceae
Description: 5.8S ribosomal RNA
Rfam family: 5.8S ribosomal RNA
About the family: 5.8S ribosomal RNA (5.8S rRNA) is a component of the large subunit of the eukaryotic ribosome.
Source: RNAcentral
UACAACUUUCAGCGGUGGAUGUCUAGGUUCCCACAACGAUGAAGAACGCAGCGAAAUGCAUACGUAAUGCGAAUUGCAAGACCUCGUGAAUCAUUAAGAUUUUGAACGCACAUUGCGCUUUCGGGAUUUUCCCGGUGCAUGCUUGUCUGAGUGUCUGUG